AUGCACGCUGGCGGCGUGCCUAAUACAUGCAAGUCGAGCGAACAGACGAGGAGCUUGCUCCUCUGAUGUUAGCGGCGGACGGGUGAGUAACACGUGGAUAACCUACCUAUAAGACUGGGAUAACUUCGGGAAACCGGAGCUAAUACCGGAUAACAUGUUGAACCGCAUGGUUCAACAGUGAAAGACGGUCUUGCUGUCACUUAUAGAUGGAUCCGCGCCGCAUUAGCUAGUUGGUAAGGUAACGGCUUACCAAGGCAACGAUGCGUAGCCGACCUGAGAGGGUGAUCGGCCACACUGGAACUGAGACACGGUCCAGACUCCUACGGGAGGCAGCAGUAGGGAAUCUUCCGCAAUGGGCGAAAGCCUGACGGAGCAACGCCGCGUGAGUGAAGAAGGUCUUCGGAUCGUAAAACUCUGUUAUUAGGGAAGAACAAAUGUGUAAGUAACUAUGCACGUCUUGACGGUACCUAAUCAGAAAGCCACGGCUAACUACGUG
This 496-nucleotide ribosomal RNA is filed under the name uncultured bacterium. RNAcentral describes it as "partial 16S ribosomal RNA". It matches the Rfam family "Bacterial small subunit ribosomal RNA", at positions 29 to 507 of the family's 1533-position model. The record is from RNAcentral.